This 359-nucleotide ribosomal RNA is filed under the name uncultured bacterium. Its description in RNAcentral is "partial 16S ribosomal RNA". It matches the Rfam family "Bacterial small subunit ribosomal RNA", at positions 338 to 696 of the family's 1533-position model. The record is from RNAcentral.
CCUACGGGAGACAGCAGUGAGGAAUAUUGGUCAAUGGCCGGAAGGCUGAACCAGCCAUGCCGCGUGAAGGUCAGUGCCCUAUGGGCGCUAAACUUCUUUUGUGCGGGAGCAAUAAUGGUCACGUGUGGCCAGACGAGAGUACCGUACGAAUAAGCAUCGGCUAACUCCGUGCCAGCAGCCGCGGUAAUACGGGGGAUGCAAGCGUUAUCCCGAAUUACUGGGGGUAAAGGGAGCGUAGGCGGGGAUGCAAGUUGGGGGUAAAAACUACGGGCUCAACCGGUAGUCGCACUCAAAACUGCAGCUCUUGAGUGAAGGAGAGGCAUGCGGAAUGCGUAGUGUAGCGGUGAAAUGCGUAGAUA